RNAcentral lists this ribosomal RNA (1343 nucleotides) under uncultured bacterium. Its description in RNAcentral is "16S ribosomal RNA". It matches the Rfam family "Bacterial small subunit ribosomal RNA", at positions 28 to 1378 of the family's 1533-position model. The record is from RNAcentral.
GACGAACGCUGGCGGCGUGCUUAACACAUGCAAGUCGAACGGAAAGGCCCUGCUUUUGUGGGGUGCUCGAGUGGCGAACGGGUGAGUAACACGUGAGUAACCUGCCCUUGACUUUGGGAUAACUUCAGGAAACUGGGGCUAAUACCGGAUAGGAGCUCCUGCUGCAUGGUGGGGGUUGGAAAGUUUCGGCGGUUGGGGAUGGACUCGCGGCUUAUCAGCUUGUUGGUGGGGUAGUGGCUUACCAAGGCCUUGACGGGUAGCCGGCCUGAGAGGGUGACCGGCCACAUUGGGACUGAGAUACGGCCCAGACUCCUACGGGAGGCAGCAGUGGGGAAUAUUGCACAAUGGGCGGAAGCCUGAUGCAGCAACGCCGCGUGCGGGAUGACGGCCUUCGGGUUGUAAACCGCUUUCGCCUGUGACGAAGCGUGAGUGACGGUAAUGGGUAAAGAAGCACCGGCUAACUACGUGCCAGCAGCCGCGGUGAUACGUAGGGUGCGAGCGUUGUCCGGAUUUAUUGGGCGUAAAGGGCUUGUAGGUGGUUGAUCGCGUCGGAAGUGUAAUCUUGGGGCUUAACCCUGAGCGUGCUUUCGAUACGGGUUGACUUGAGGAAGGUAGGGGAGAAUGGAAUUCCUGGUGGAGCGGUGGAAUGCGCAGAUAUCAGGAGGAACACCAGUGGCGAAGGCGGUUCUCUGGGCCUUUCCUGACGCUGAGGAGCGAAAGCGUGGGGAGCGAACAGGCUUAGAUACCCUGGUAGUCCACGCUGUAAACGGUGGGUACUAGGUGUGGGGUCCAUUCCACGGGUUCCGUGCCGUAGCUAACGCUUUAAGUACCCCGCCUGGGGAGUACGGCCGCAAGGCUAAAACUCAAAGGAAUUGACGGGGCCCCGCACAAGCGGCGGAGCAUGCGGAUUAAUUCGAUGCAACGCGUAGAACCUUACCUGGGUUUGACAUGGAUCGGGAGCGCUCAGAGAUGGGUGUGCCUCUUUUGGGGUCGGUUCACAGGUGGUGCAUGGCUGUCGUCAGCUCGUGCCGUGAGAUGUUGGGUUAAGUCCCGCAACGAGCGCAACCCUUGUUCACUGUUGCCAGCACGUUAUGGUGGGGACUCAGUGGAGACCGCCGGGGUCAACUCGGAGGAAGGUGGGGAUGACGUCAAGUCAUCAUGCCCCUUAUGUCCAGGGCUUCACGCAUGCUACAAUGGCUGGUACAGAGAGUGGCGAGCCUGUGAGGGUGAGCGAAUCUCGGAAAGCCGGUCUCAGUUCGGAUUGGGGUCUGCAACUCGACCUCAUGAAGUCGGAGUCGCUAGUAAUCGCAGAUCAGCAACGCUGCGGUGAAUACGUUCCCGGG